RNAcentral lists this ribosomal RNA (492 nucleotides) under uncultured bacterium. Its description in RNAcentral is "partial 16S ribosomal RNA". It matches the Rfam family "Bacterial small subunit ribosomal RNA", at positions 29 to 507 of the family's 1533-position model. The record is from RNAcentral.
AGUGAACGCUGGCGGUAGGCCUAACACAUGCAAGUCGAACGGCAGCACAGUAAGAGCUUGCUCUUACGGGUGGCGAGUGGCGGACGGGUGAGGAAUACAUCGGAAUCUACUUUUUCGUGGGGGAUAACGUAGGGAAACUUACGCUAAUACCGCAUACGACCUACGGGUGAAAGCAGGGGAUCUUCGGACCUUGCGCGAUUGAAUGAGCCGAUGUCGGAUUAGCUAGUUGGCGGGGUAAAGGCCCACCAAGGCGACGAUCCGUAGCUGGUCUGAGAGGAUGACAGGCACAAUGGGACCGGAACAAGGGUCCGACUCCUACGGGGAGGCAGCAGUGGGGAAUAUUGGACAAUGGGCGCAAGCCUGAUCCAGCCAUACCGCGUGGGUGAAGAAGGCCUUCGGGUUGUAAAGCCCUUUUGUUGGGAAAGAAAAGCAGCAGGUUAAUACCCCGCUGUUCUGACGGUACCCAAAGAAUAAGCACCGGCUAACUUCGUG